CCGUGGUAAUUCUAGAGCUAAUACAUGCUAAAAACCCCGACUUCGGAAGGGGUGUGUUUAUUAGAUAAAAAACCAAUGCCCUUCGGGGCUCUUUGGUGAUUCAUGAUAACCUAACGGAUCGCAUGGCCUUGCGCCGGCGACGGUUCAUUCAAAUUUCUGCCCUAUCAACUUUCGAUGGUAAGGUAUUGGCUUACCAUGGUUUCAACGGGUAACGGGGAAUUAGGGUUCGAUUCCGGAGAGGGAGCCUGAGAAACGGCUACCACAUCCAAGGAAGGCAGCAGGCGCGCAAAUUACCCAAUCCCGACACGGGGAGGUAGUGACAAUAAAUACUGAUACAUGGCUCUUUAGAGUCUUGUAAUCGGAAUGAGUACAAUUUAAACCCCUUAACGAGGAACAAUUGGAGGGCAAGUCUGGUGCCAGCAGCCGCGGUAAUUCCAGCUCCAAUAGCGUAUAUUAAAGUUGUUGCAGUUAAAAAGCUCGUAGUUGAAACUUGGGUCUGGCUAGCGGGUCCGCCUCACCGCGUGCACUUGUCCGGCUGGACCUUUCCUUCUGGAGAACCUCAUGCCCUUCACUGGGUGUGUUGGGGAACCAGGACUUUUACUUUGAAAAAAUUAGAGUGUUCAAAGCAGGCCUUUGCUCGAAUACGUUAGCAUGGAAUAAUAGAAUAGGACGUGCGGUCCUAUUUUGUUGGUUUCUAGGAUCGCCGUAAUGAUUAAUAGGGAUAGUCGGGGGCAUCAGUAUUCAAUUGUCAGAGGUGAAAUUCUUGGAUUUAUUGAAGACUAACUACUGCGAAAGCAUUUGCCAAGGAUGUUUUCAUUAAUCAGUGAACGAAAGUUAGGGGAUCGAAGACGAUCAGAUACCGUCGUAGUCUUAACCGUAAACUAUGCCGACUAGGGAUCGGGCGAUGUUUCUAUCUUGACUCGCUCGGCACCUUA
This 935-nucleotide ribosomal RNA is filed under the name Prosthemium neobetulinum. RNAcentral describes it as "SSU rRNA". It matches the Rfam family "Eukaryotic small subunit ribosomal RNA", at positions 147 to 1090 of the family's 1831-position model. RNAcentral also lists the same sequence under 3 other names. The record is from RNAcentral. Lineage: Eukaryota; Fungi; Ascomycota; Dothideomycetes; Pleosporales; Pleomassariaceae.